This 142-nucleotide small nuclear RNA is filed under the name Carlito syrichta (Philippine tarsier). RNAcentral's name for it is "U4 spliceosomal RNA (ENSTSYG00000032858.1)". It matches the Rfam family "U4 spliceosomal RNA". Rfam says of the family: U4 small nuclear RNA (U4 snRNA) is a component of the major U2-dependent spliceosome. The structure of U4 snRNA from yeast and human has been reported. U4 snRNA presents a k-turn RNA motif in the 5p-SL related to recognition of Snu13 protein. Lineage: Eukaryota; Metazoa; Chordata; Mammalia; Primates; Tarsiidae. The record is from Rfam by way of RNAcentral.
AGCUUUGCUCAGUGGCAGUAUUGUAGCCAAUGAGGUCUUACCUGAGGCACGAUUAUUGCUAAUUGAAAACUUUUUUCAAAACCCCACCAUGACGACUUGAAAUGUAGUCACCACUGGCAAUUUUUGGCAGUCUCUAUGGAGA